CGCCAGCCUCAUGCCGAGUCCCGCUAGAGAAGCCACAGCCAGUACGCCAGGUUUCCCCGCGCCUCUGCCGAGUGGGUUGAAGGCAAAUACUUGAAGUUGCAAUCGAAGGUCAAGAAAAUGGAAUCAAGAGGUCACAAUCCUUCUCUGAUGAUGGCUUAGAAAGCUGGAAGACACUCAACAUUGAAUCCUGGGGCUCUGUGCCAUGCUUGCUAGGAGAAACAGCCACCAUGAGUCCAUCUUUCAGAUCUCAAGUGAACAGGGAAGAGAUUACUGCGUUCAGCACAGGGACAUCUACAAAGAAGGGAAGAAGAAACAGGGACAGACCAGUGAAGCAAUAGAAUAGUUACGUGGUUGUCAUUCUCCAGCUGGGAUUGAGAACAAGGGGAAGCUGGCCAUAGAGCCAGGUGACCAAAGAUGGAAGACAAAGGGUGGGCUGUGAUUCCCAGAGCUCCAAGCCUUGUUCUGUCUUGUCACACCAACUGUUACUGAUGAACAGCUUGCAGUGCCAGUACCUUAAGACAGUUUUCUCCGUAAUGGGGCUAUGAGGGAAAUGAGCACCAAAGCACAUGACUUCAGGACAUGAGUGUGGGGUACAGGGAAAAGAGACAUGUUCUGAACCUGAAUGAAGCUGGGGAACCUCUCACCUGAGUGCCUGCAUUUGGCAGCCUGAUAUUUUCGGCAGCAGCAGUCACAUCAAUGAAGGCUCGCAUGAGAAUGUCCAAGUAGUUCAGUUUGGAAUAUUCCUGUUUGGAGACAGUGAAUGCAUUAGGGAAGUGAAAAGUGUCCUAGGCAAAGGCAAAUUACUUCCAUGGGACAGCCUCAAGCCAAGGUCAUACCUCUAGAAAUGUGCUGUUCCAUAACCUCGAGCGCAAAAUAAGAGACGCCUUGCUGUCCAGCCCCCGCAGCGGGCAUCUGAUGUUCACACAGUUCACGUUCACGCUACAGUUCUAGAGAGAAAAAGAAGAAUGGUCAUCAAAAGACAUUGUUCUGAAGAAAUCCUUCCCCUCAUCCUCUCAAAUAUUCACAGCUCUUGAAAAAUACUUACAAGAGUCUGGUAUUUUCUUUCAGCAAAUAAAGAAAAUUUUCUGUUAUCAUCUAUC
Molecule: long non-coding RNA, 1100 nt
Filed under: Homo sapiens (human)
Lineage: Eukaryota; Metazoa; Chordata; Mammalia; Primates; Hominidae
Description: HSALNT0043152
Source: RNAcentral